Talpa occidentalis (Iberian mole) is the source of this 3373-nucleotide long non-coding RNA. RefSeq lists it as uncharacterized. NCBI's taxonomy places the organism in Eukaryota, Metazoa, Chordata, Mammalia, Eulipotyphla, Talpidae. The record is from RefSeq and is a predicted model, not a curated record. The transcript has 9 exons.
UCUGUGGUCUGUUAUUUUGUAAAAUUGCUUCCUUUUUGAAGUUUGGUUAAAUAUUGGUAGUUGCCGGAAUGAAUACUUUAUAAUGCUUUAAUUAAUUUAGUGUCUGAUUUUAUUUCAAUGAGGAUUAAGGAGACUAUUAAGCUGUUUCCUUUACUGCUUUGACAUUCUCAUUUCUAUCACUCAAGAAAGCAUUUUGCCUAAUGUGAAAUAAGUUAGUUUUUCCCUAGUUUGUCAUUAUUCUAAACAUUAGAUAAGUUACCUAUCUCAAAUACAAAUAUGUACAGCAAUUUCAUUUUUCAAUUUUUAAUGCAACAAAAUAGCAUCAUUAGUAUAUCUUUAAUGUAAUGUUUUCCAGAAAAGAUAGCAUUUCAUCCAGGAAACAUACCUUUAUGCUUAACAGGUUCAUCUCUUAAAGGAUUUUAAAAUAUGAUAACACUUACCCCAAAAGAAGUUUUGCUGACAUGGUGUCACUGUGCUGAAGAGGCUGUUUGAUGCCAUAGUCCCUCCUUUUUUUUUUCAGAUAGAUCUUUUGCCCUCUGUUGUAAAUACUGCUUGCAGUCUUAAACUGAAAAUACAAACCAUACCCAAACCUUGUUUUAGUUUUACAAUAUGCCUGGAGUACAUAGACUUUAUAUUUAUUUUUUUCUGUCAAGAAAUUAUGUAGCUGGUAACAUGUGAAAAGCAAGGAAACAAAACAAAAAGAGAAUGAGCAAAUAUUUGAAGGACCUACUAUUACUGCAUAGACUGUGGUUAGAGAGCACUCACUGACUCUGUUGGUCUCGGUGGCUGGUAGUGACCUGCGGAGAUUAACCAUUUAAAAACCAGAGACUUCUUGCUGUCCUCCUGGAGAAAGUUUGCACCGCACUUGUGGUUCUGUGGUUGUUUGUGAGGCGAAUGAAGCAUUCACACAAUCCAAAAAAGCAAAAGCUUUAAAACUCCUUUUUUUUGCAAGCACUAUUACUGGAGAGACAGAAUCAUGUGGUUUGUGACCUCACAGUGCUCAAAGUAAAGUGGGACUGCCUACCACUGUGGCUUUUUCCCUCUUGCUCUUGCUCUCUCUCUCUCUCUCUCUCUCUUUCUCUCUCUCUCUCUCUCUCUCUCUCUCUGACAAAAGACUUGUGGUAAGGCCCUUCCUGGCAUCCAGAAGGAUAUAGCUUUUUAAUUUUUGUGACUCAUGAGGAUUUGGAUAGAAUACAAAUGCUGAAGGAGCCCAAACUCCUGUAAGGUUAAGCAUUUGUAGAGCAGAAGUCUGCAGUUAAGGCUUUCCUUUCUAUCUACACCUCUUUUGCCCCCCCCCUUUUUUUUUUGCCUCUUCCUUUAUUUAGUUCAUUAUUUUAUCUGUGUAAAGUGAACAAAAUUGGCUCAAGGGGCUGUGUGAAAUUCUGAACAACAGUGAUGAUUUACAAUAAUUUACAUCUUUGGAUUGUAUCACAUUCUGGGGUCUGCUUCAUAUUUGCUGGGUGACUGAAGUCCUUCUGUUUUUCUUUUUCUUGUCUUUUUAAACUUCUGAAUCUGUAACUCAUUGUAAAAAAGUUUACCUUUCUUAAGGUCUGGUUGCAAACUGCUUGCUGGGCUUGACUAUAAUUGGCUGUCAUGAAAGUGUUAGUCUGGGAAUUCCUUUACAAAUAUUAAAUCAUGUCUGUCUAGUUUAUGUACUAUCAAUAUUAGGCGCUGGCUCCUUCAGUAAAGAUUAAAGCUGAACUGUUACAUUAUUAGAGUUGAAGGACAUUGUCAUCUAGUAGGAAAAAAAUAUUUUCUUCAGAAUUUUCACUGGCUUUGAAGCCCAAGCCCAAUAUAUUUAAUUCAUUUUUUAAAUUGAAGUAACAUUGUUAUAACAUUACAUAAGUUUCAGGAAAGAACAACAUGUCUGGGAAGAAGACAUACAGAAAGACUAAUACACAGAAACUCAAAAUGCGUCAUCCAGGGUUAAGGCUUUCUGGCAGGCAUAAUCAGAAGCCACGAGAUUAAAAUGGCCCACAUUUUUCAACUAUUGGUUUAAUUUUUUGGUGGAUCAAGGCUCAGAUGUCUGGCAACUAACUGUGAAACAGCUCCAAAUACACUCUGGAGUCUCUUUUUUCUUCAUUUGAGUAAUUAGAAAGAAUUUUAGUGUUUCAUGAUUUGUUAUAUAUACACAUUGUUGAAAUGUGGGGGAAAAAAUAUCUUAAUGGCACCAUGAUCUUCCGUUCAUCAGGAUUGAAUUUGGAAGGUGUAUUUGAAGAAAUACUUGAAGAAAAUACAAAAUAAAUGAGUGCAAUGGAACAUAAGGGAUCAUAAGAGACUAUUAUGAACAGUUAUAUGCUGAUAUAUUGAAAACCUUGAAGAAAUGGCUACAUUCCCAGAAACUUACUACUUUCUAAGACUGCAUCAAGUAGAAAUAGAAAAUCUCAAUAGACCAAUUACUUAGGCCAUCUCUCCAUUGUUCCGUAAAAGAUGACACAGAGUACGUCCAUUCUCUCUGACGAGGCUUCUGUUACUCUCUGGAAUUUGUUUACAUGAUGCCUUGUAACCUCAACUCUCGGAUGGGCUCAAGGAAAGUUAUGAUUAUGUAGAUUAUCUGGAGUUUUCUCAUUGUUAAGGUUGGAACAAUAUUCUCGAGGCUUUCUGCAUCCUAAAGCAAUAAUCUGUUCGUGACAAGCUGCUUUAGGGCACACUCCUUAAACUGUCUGGCACACAUGAUCCUCUCCUUUGAUAAUUAGUGAACUUUUGUGAAAAGUUUGAGAAGUUCUGAAUCUUAGGCCAAACAUGUAACAAACCCUCUUACACACUGAUGUAUCAAUGAGAUAGGAACUUACAGGUUGGCUUAUUACUUUCAAAUGCCUGCCUUUUCGCUCUCUAUAAAAAGGCAGCUGGAAAAUGUCAAUACAGUUGAUUCUUGUUAUUGGUAAUAGUAAAAUUCUGUAAAGAAACAUUGAACCACUGCUCCUUUGGGAAAUAAGUGCACCACACAAACACCUUUCCUAUGGACUAUAGUCUUAAAUCCUAAAAACAUGUCAUCUUAGUAGAUUCUAUUUUCUUUAUUUUACAAAAUGGAAAAUGAAAUUCAGGAUGUUAACAAAACCUGAGGCUUCCCCACUAACAGGUACCCGAGUUGACAUUCAAGACUCAUCUAGCCAGCCUUAGAGCAGGGCCUUCUUGUGCACAUAGCUGUGCCCCUGUAGUCUCAAUCCUCUGGUCACCUUCUGUGUAAGAGCUGAAAGGGGAAUGCUGAGUGUCUGUCACCAUGUUAGACCUCCACUAGGAAUAGUAUCUGGCAACUUUGCUGCUCUGCACACAUUCAUAGAAAAUCCUGAAAAUAGGGCCUCCCUGGUGGCACAGUGGUUGAUCGCUGGGUUACGAAGCUGCCCGCAGUCUCUGCAGUGCCGGUUUGCUCCCU